GUGGGAGGGGGCUUGCCCCCGAUAGCGGUGUAUCAGUCAAUAUCUUCAGUGACUGACCCACUGCAAUCGGGGGCAAGCCCCCUCCCAC
RNAcentral lists this unclassified non-coding RNA (88 nucleotides) under Pseudomonas marginalis. Lineage: Bacteria; Pseudomonadati; Pseudomonadota; Gammaproteobacteria; Pseudomonadales; Pseudomonadaceae. The record is from RNAcentral.